CGCGGUAAUACGGAGGGUGCAAGCGUUAUCCGGGAUUUAUUGGGUUUAAAGGGUGCGUAGGCGGCUGUUUAAGUCAGUGGUGAAAUGUUGCAGCUUAACUGUAGAGUUGCCAUUGAAACUGAACAGCUUGAGUUAUCUUGAGGUAGGCGGAAUGUGUAGUGUAGCGGUGAAAUGCUUAGAUAUUACACAGAACACCGAUUGCGAAGGCAGCUUACUAAGGAUAAACUGACGCUCAGGCACGAAAGCGUGGGGAUCGAACAGGAUUAGAUACCCUGGUAGUCCACGCCGUAAACGAUGAUGACUCGCUGUUGGCGAUACACAGUCAGCGGCUUAGCGAAAGCGUUAAGUCAUCCACCUGGGGAGUACGCUCGCAAGAGUGAAACUCAAAGGAAUUGACGGGGGCCCGCACAAGCGGAGGAACAUGUGGUUUAAUUCGAUGAUACGCGAGGAACCUUACCUGGGCUUAAAUGUGCUUUGACAGCCGGAGAAAUUUGGCUUUUCGCAAGAACAGAGUACAAGGUGCUGCAUGGUUGUCGUCAGCUCGUGCCGUGAGGUGUCGGGUUAAGUCCCAUAACGAGCGCAACCCUUAUUGUCAGUUGCUAACAGGUAAAGCUGAGGACUCUGGCGAGACUGCCACCGUAAGGUGAGAGGAAGGUGGGGAUGACGUCAAAUCAGCACGGCCCUUAUGUCCAGGGCUACACACGUGUUACAAUGGCCGAUACAAAGGGCAGCUACCAGGUGACUGGAUGCUAAUCUCUAAAGUCGGUCUCAGUUCGGAUCGGAGUCUGCAACCCGACUCCGUGAAGCUGGAUUCGCUAGUAAUCGCGCAUCAGCCAUGGCGCGGUGAAUACGUUCCCGGGCCUUGUACACACCGCCCGUCAAACCAUGGGAGUUGGGGGUACCUGAAGU
Molecule: ribosomal RNA, 909 nt
Filed under: uncultured bacterium
Lineage: Bacteria
Description: bacterial SSU rRNA
Rfam family: Bacterial small subunit ribosomal RNA
Source: RNAcentral